This is a microRNA precursor of Cebus imitator (Panamanian white-faced capuchin), 56 nucleotides long. The record is from Ensembl. NCBI's taxonomy places the organism in Eukaryota, Metazoa, Chordata, Mammalia, Primates, Cebidae.
CGCUCGGGCGGAGGUGGCUGAGUGCUGGCUGGCGCCUGACCCACCCCCUCCCGCAG